This 50-nucleotide non-coding RNA is filed under the name unclassified sequences. The record is from RNAcentral.
UUCUGACUACUAGUAAUAGUAGAAACUAGCCACUACAGGAGAAGCACAUG